This 460-nucleotide ribosomal RNA is filed under the name uncultured bacterium. RNAcentral's name for it is "partial 16S ribosomal RNA". It matches the Rfam family "Bacterial small subunit ribosomal RNA", at positions 338 to 795 of the family's 1533-position model. The record is from RNAcentral.
CCUACGGGAGGCAGCAGUGAGGAAUAUUGGUCAAUGGACGAAAGUCUGAACCAGCCACGUAGCGUGCAGGAUGACUGCCCUCUGGGUUGUAAACUUCUUUUAUAUGGGAAUAAAAUGUUCCUCGUGAGGGAUUUCGUAUGUACCCUAUCAUUAAGGAACGCCUAAAUCCGCGCCAGCAGCGGCGGUAAGACGGUGGGUCCGAGCGUUAUCCGGAUUUAUUGGGUUUAAAGGGAGCCUAUGUCGGUUUGUAAGUCAGUUGUGAAAGUUUGGGGCUCAACCGUAAAAUUGCAGUUGAAACUGGCAGUCUUGAGUACAGUAGAGGUGGGCGGAAUUCGUGGUGUAGCGGUGAAAUGCUUAGAUAUCACGAAGAACUCCGAUUGCGAAGGCAGCUCACUGGACUGCAACUGACGCUGAGGCUCGAAAGUGUGGGUAUCAAACAGGAUUAGAUACCCUUGUAGUC